CGCGUAGGCGGCGGACCUUGUCGAGUGUGAAAGCCCCGGGCUCAACCUGGGAGGUGCGCUCGAGACGGGUUUGCUGGAGUUCGGGAGAGGAGAGUGGAAUUCCCAGUGUAGAGGUGAAAUUCGUAGAUAUUGGGAAGAACACCGGUGGCGAAGGCGGCUCUCUGGACCGAGACUGACGCUGAGGCGCGAAAGCGUGGGGAGCAAACAGGAUUAGAUACCCUGGUAGUCCACGCUGUAAACGAUGUGUGCUAGACGUUGGGGAGCGUAGCUCUUCGGUGUCGCCGCAAACGCUUUAAGCACACCGCCUGGGGAGUACGGCCGCAAGGUUAA
Molecule: ribosomal RNA, 330 nt
Filed under: uncultured bacterium
Lineage: Bacteria
Description: bacterial SSU rRNA
Rfam family: Bacterial small subunit ribosomal RNA
Source: RNAcentral